GACGAACGCUGGCGGCGUGCUUAACACAUGCAAGUCGAACGGAAAGGCCCUGCUUUUGUGGGGUGCUCGAGAGGCGAACGGGUGAGUAACACGUGAGUAACCUGCCCUUGACUUUGGGAUAACUUCAGGAAACUGGGGCUAAUACCGGAUAGGAGCUCCUGCUGCAUGAUGGGGGUUGGAAAGUUUCGGCGGUUGGGGAUGGACUCACGGCUUAUCAGCUUGUUGGUGGGGUAGUGGCUUACCAAGGCUUUGACGGGUAGCCGGUCUGAGAGGGUGACCGGCCACAUUGGGACUGAGAUACGGCCCAGACUCCUACGGGAGGCAGCAGUGGGGAAUAUUGCACAAUGGGCGGAAGCCUGAUGCAGCAACGCCGCGUGCGGGAUGACGGCCUUCGGGUUGUAAACCGCUUUCGCCUGUGACGAAGCGUGAGUGACGGUAAUGGGUAAAGAAGCACCGGCUAACUACGUG
Molecule: ribosomal RNA, 468 nt
Filed under: uncultured bacterium
Lineage: Bacteria
Description: partial 16S ribosomal RNA
Rfam family: Bacterial small subunit ribosomal RNA
Source: RNAcentral